Brassica rapa (field mustard) is the source of this 2324-nucleotide long non-coding RNA. RefSeq lists it as uncharacterized. Lineage: Eukaryota; Viridiplantae; Streptophyta; Magnoliopsida; Brassicales; Brassicaceae. The record is from RefSeq and is a predicted model, not a curated record.
UGGAAAUAUUAUCCGAAGCCAACAUACAUCAUACAUCCAUGAUCCCAACAUUCGGAUAUCGAAAAUUUCAAUAAUAUCCAUAUAUUCAAUUCCUGAGGUAAUAUUCUGUCGAUUAAACCAUGUAUUGAACAAAUUGGAUUUAAAAGCAUUCUAUUACACUUAGGCCUCAGACUUUUAUCCGAGAUCCAGAUUCGAUCUGAGAUCUGAUCCGAAAAUUCAGAUAUUCGGAGAGGCCAAAUCCAGAUCCGGAUAGUAAAUUGUUAGAUCCGUCAAAACUGAAUCCGGAUCUGGAUAUCUUGAAUUUUUAGUCCGGAUAUCUGGAUCCGUAAAUUUUAUUAAUAAUUAUUUUAAAAAUGGUAAUAUCUAUAUAUAAAAACUAAUUUUAUUUAAUAAUUUUUCAUUUUUAUAAUAGUAUAUAUAAAUUUUAUGUAAAUUUUAUAAUAUUAUACAUAGAAAUAAUUAAAAACAUUAUAUAGAUUUUUAUUUUUACAUUAUUGUUAAUAUUUUAUAUAUAUUAGUAUUAUUUUUUAUUUAUUUUAAGGAUCCAAAUCUGAAUCUGGAUAUCUACCAGAUAUUAUGAUUUUUAGAAGAAUAUUUGACACUUAAGUAUUCGUGAAUCCCGGAUCCGAAUAAAGAUAGUAAAAUUAUGGAUCCAUCGGAUAAGGAUCCGAACAUCUUAAAAUUGUUCGGGUACCCGAUCCGUUUCAAGCCUAAUUACACUUCAUUGUAUGGCUACAGUGAUAUAAAUCUAUUGUUUGGGCACAUUUGAAUACUCCAAAGUCUAUUGCAUUUGAAUACUCCAAAGUCUAUUCGUAGACUGUACGUCCAUUAGAAAUUAAUCUUAAUUCUUCUACCGCCCUGAGAUACUCAGAAUUUAUAAAAAAAAAUAUAUAUCGGUUAAAUCAAAUCAUAAAUUUUUUACUUUCUUGUCUUUCUCUUCUUCUCAGGAUAAUAUUAUAUUCAAUAAGCUGAGUAACUGUUCCUUUAUUUGAUCAUGCACGUGCUCUUCCACAUGGAAAACAUGGUACACCUCACAAAUAAGUAAUGUUUCUCUUUUUUUUUUUUAUGUUUCUCAUAUUCUAUUAUGUAUUGGACUCAGAUUAUGAGAAAACAAAGCAUAGCCAACAUCAUCGUCAGUAACAAAAACGGUUGAAAAAUGGCAUUCAGUGUUGUUCUUAUAUUGGGUUGUCUCUAAAUGUUAUCGUCUGCAUUAUUACGGCUUUUAGUUGUUUUUUCUUUCAUAUUUUUAUUUCCCUUCAGCUUCAAGCCAUAUUCAUUGUUGUAACUUUAAGCUAAUACAUUGGUUCAAGGCAUCUAGAUCUGUUUUACAUAGUCUAUAAUAAGUUAUAAGAAAUGUGCUUACAUAGUUACAUUAGUUCUAUAUGGACAGUUGUAAUGUAACGCAUGUGAUAUGCAUGCUUGUGUGUCGUUUCGCAUAAUACAUCUUGAGAAAUAUAAGAAUUGAAUAUCCAUUGCAUCAGCAGUUGUUUAUAUAAUUAUAUAUAUGCAUGUUAUCAUGGUCAAGAUGUGACGUGCCGACCUGUUGAUGUUUCCGUAACAAGUUUUUAUCGCUAGAUACCAAUAUAUGAGCUGAAGGCACGCUCUUAUUUUGAAACUUUAUCUUGUUCACGAUAUGUAUAUACUUGGAAGAAACUAAAUUGUAAGAAAAUUCCCGGUAAGUCCAUCCGAUAUAUGAUAGCGAUUCUACUAAUUAAUGGUUAUAUUACUCAAAACUUGAACGGUUAUAAAUGACUUUCAAAUUAGUUUUACCAAAAUGGUAAAACUAAUCAAAGCUUAUCCAUCGUGAUUUGACUUUGAAUUUGCAAGCCCUCACCGACUACCACCGACAUAGACGUAUCCAUUCUAUAAAUUGAACCCAAAUCCCUUAACUUGAUCCGAGAGCAUAGCAAAUACAUCACAACAGUACACAUAUAACAGAAGAAGAAAAAUGUCGUAUGAAUGUCGUGGGAAGAACUCAUGGCCGGAGCUUGUGGGGACAAAUGGAGAUUAUGCGGCUUUGGUGAUAGAAAGAGAGAACACGAGAGUCGAUGCAAUCGUGAUUUUGGAUGGAACUCCAGUGACUGCAGACUUCAGGUGUGACCGGGUCAGGGUUAGGGUUGAUAAAAAUCGUAUCGUCGUCAAAGUCCCUAUCGCCGGCUAGUUGGAUACGGACCGGGCUGUUACUAUGUCUAUAUAAUAUGGAUAAAAUAAAACUUUAAAGUGCAUGGUUUUUGGUUGGUCAUGAUGUAAGUUAUAUAUCUUUUGCAGUUUUGCGUGAAUAAUUUCGGAGAAUAUACAACUCAUGAUGUAAGUUAUAUAUCGUU